AGGAUGAACGCUAGCGGCAGGCCUAAUACAUGCAAGUCGUACGGCAACACAGUUGCGAGCAAUCGCAACCGGUGGCGAGUGGCGCACGGGUGAGUAACGCGUAUGUAACCUACCCUUCUCCGGGACAUAACUCCGCGAAAGCGGUGCUAAUAUCCCAUACCAACUCAUCAAGACAUCUUCUUGAGUUGAAAGCAGCAAUGCGGUGAAGGAUGGGCAUGCGUCCCAUUAGCUGGUUGGUGAGGUAAUGGCCACCAAGGCUACGAUGGGUAGGGGUUCUGAGAGGAAAGCCCCCCACACUGGUACUGAGACACGGACCAGACUCCUACGGGAGGCAGCAGUAAGGAAUAUUGGGCAAUGGUCGAAAGACUGACCCAGCCAUGCCGCGUGCAGGAUGAAGGCCCUAUGGGUUGUAAACUGCUUUUAGCCGGGAAUAAACACCCGUUUUAUAACGGGCCCGAAGGUACCGGCUGAAUAAGCAUCGGCUAACUCCGUG
RNAcentral lists this ribosomal RNA (493 nucleotides) under uncultured bacterium. RNAcentral's name for it is "bacterial SSU rRNA". It matches the Rfam family "Bacterial small subunit ribosomal RNA", at positions 26 to 507 of the family's 1533-position model. The record is from RNAcentral.